This 489-nucleotide small RNA is filed under the name Pongo abelii (Sumatran orangutan). Its description in RNAcentral is "processed transcript". The record is from RNAcentral. Lineage: Eukaryota; Metazoa; Chordata; Mammalia; Primates; Hominidae.
AAGUCAGGGGGCGGGGCCGGGGGGGAGGAGGUGGAGAGUGAGGCCGAGGGGUGGGGAGCCCGGGAACUCCCUCUUCCUGAAGUAACGCGUCCCGGGCCGGCUCUGCCGUCGUUGCUGCCGCCGGGCGCCCCGGGACGAGGAGGUGGAGGAGGGAGAGGGCCCGCGGGCCUCGCCUCCGCCCUCCGCCCCCUCCCGCCACCUCGAGCUGCGGUAGCAGCGACUCAUGAGAGCGCGGCCGGAGGACAGCGUUGAUGCCUUACCUGGACGUUUCAAGGCUAGAGCAGUUGUUGAACUCCAGAGCAUUAUCAAGUCCUCACAGCUUAAAAGGAGAUUUGAUAAUGGGCUGCAUUAAAAGUAAAGAAAACAAAAGUCCAGCCAUUAAAUACAGACCUGAAAAUACUCCAGAGCCUGUCAGUACAAGUGUGAGCCAUUAUGGAGCAGAACCCACUACAGUGUCACCAUGUCCGUCAUCUUCAGCAAAGGGAACAG